RNAcentral lists this ribosomal RNA (655 nucleotides) under Microbacterium sp. EKM102T. Its description in RNAcentral is "bacterial SSU rRNA". It matches the Rfam family "Bacterial small subunit ribosomal RNA", at positions 835 to 1488 of the family's 1533-position model. Lineage: Bacteria; Bacillati; Actinomycetota; Actinomycetes; Micrococcales; Microbacteriaceae. The record is from RNAcentral.
CGGUUUCCGUGACGCAGCUAACGCAUUAAGUUCCCCGCCUGGGGAGUACGGCCGCAAGGCUAAAACUCAAAGGAAUUGACGGGGACCCGCACAAGCGGCGGAGCAUGCGGAUUAAUUCGAUGCAACGCGAAGAACCUUACCAAGGCUUGACAUAUACGAGAACGGGCCAGAAAUGGUCAACUCUUUGGACACUCGUAAACAGGUGGUGCAUGGUUGUCGUCAGCUCGUGUCGUGAGAUGUUGGGUUAAGUCCCGCAACGAGCGCAACCCUCGUUCUAUGUUGCCAGCACGUAAUGGUGGGAACUCAUGGGAUACUGCCGGGGUCAACUCGGAGGAAGGUGGGGAUGACGUCAAAUCAUCAUGCCCCUUAUGUCUUGGGCUUCACGCAUGCUACAAUGGCCGGUACAAAGGGCUGCAAUACCGUGAGGUGGAGCGAAUCCCAAAAAGCCGGUCCCAGUUCGGAUUGAGGUCUGCAACUCGACCUCAUGAAGUCGGAGUCGCUAGUAAUCGCAGAUCAGCAACGCUGCGGUGAAUACGUUCCCGGGUCUUGUACACACCGCCCGUCAAGUCAUGAAAGUCGGUAACACCUGAAGCCGGUGGCCCAACCCUUGUGGAGGGAGCCGUCGAAGGUGGGAUCGGUAAUUAGGACUAAGUCG